RNAcentral lists this non-coding RNA (29 nucleotides) under Homo sapiens (human). Lineage: Eukaryota; Metazoa; Chordata; Mammalia; Primates; Hominidae. The record is from RNAcentral.
UGAACACGACACAACACUUUAGAGUCCUA